GGCUGGUCCAAAGGUAGUGAGUUAUCUCAAUUGAUUGUUCACAAUCAGUUACAGAUCAAACUCCUCCUGUUCUACUCUUUCCUCCCUUCUCACUAUUGUACUUGACUAGCCUUGA
This 115-nucleotide Y RNA is filed under the name Microcebus murinus (gray mouse lemur). RNAcentral's name for it is "Y RNA (ENSMICG00000044459.1)". It matches the Rfam family "Y RNA". Rfam says of the family: Y RNAs are components of the Ro ribonucleoprotein particle (Ro RNP), in association with Ro60 and La proteins. Lineage: Eukaryota; Metazoa; Chordata; Mammalia; Primates; Cheirogaleidae. The record is from Rfam by way of RNAcentral.